This 449-nucleotide ribosomal RNA is filed under the name uncultured bacterium. RNAcentral's name for it is "bacterial SSU rRNA". It matches the Rfam family "Bacterial small subunit ribosomal RNA", at positions 329 to 792 of the family's 1533-position model. The record is from RNAcentral.
UGCCAGACUCCUACGGGAGGCAGCAGUGGGGAAUAUUGCACAAUGGGGGGAACCCUGAUCCAGCGACGCCGCGUGAGUGAAGAAGUAUUUCGGUAUGUAAAGCUCUAUCAGCAGGGAAGAAAGAAAUGACGGUACCUGACUAAGGAGCCCCGGCUAACUACGUGCCAGACGCCGCGGUAAUACGUAGGGGGCAAGCGUUAUCCGGAUUUACUGGGUGUAAAGGGAGCGUAGACGGUUACGCAAGUCUGAAGUGAAAGGCGGGGGCCCAACCCCCGGACUGCUUUGGAAACUGUGAAACUGGAGUGCAGGAGAGGUAAGUGGAAUUCCUGGUGUAGCGGUGAAAUGCGUAGAUAUUAGGAGGAACACCAGUGGCGAAGGCGGCUUACUGGACUGUAACUGACGUUGAGGCUCGAAAGCGUGGGGAGCAAACAGGAUUAGAUACCCUAGUA